RNAcentral lists this ribosomal RNA (523 nucleotides) under uncultured bacterium. RNAcentral describes it as "bacterial SSU rRNA". It matches the Rfam family "Bacterial small subunit ribosomal RNA", at positions 355 to 896 of the family's 1533-position model. The record is from RNAcentral.
UGGGGAAUUUUGCGCAAUGGGGGAAACCCUGACGCAGCGACGCCGCGUGGAGGAUGAAGGUCUUCGGAUUGUAAACUCCUUUUGUCGGGGAAGAUAAUGACGGUACCCGAUGAAUAAGCCACGGCUAACUCUGUGCCAGCAGCCGCGGUAAGACAGAGGUGGCAAGCGUUGUUCGGAAUUACUGGGCUUAAAGGGCGCGUAGGCGGUGGUGUAAGUCUGGGGUGGAAGAUUAGGGCUUAACCCUAAAAUUGCCUUGGAAACUGCAUCACUUGAGUCAGCGAGGGGAUGGCGGAAUUCCAGGUGUAGCGGUGAAAUGCGUAGAUAUCUGGAGGAAGGCCGGUGGCGAAGGCGGCCAUCUGGCGCUGAACUGACGCUGAGGCGCGAAAGCGUGGGGAGCAAACAGGAUUAGAUACCCUGGUAGUCCACGCCCUAAACGGUGGGUACUAGGUGUAGGGCUCGCAAGGGUUCUGUGCCGUAGGGAAACCAUUAAGUACCCCGCCUGGGGAGUACGGCCGCAAGGUUA